UGAACGCUAGCGGCAGGCUUAACACAUGCAAGUCGAGGGGUAACACGAAAGAGCUUGCUUUUUUGGUGACGACCGGCGCACGGGUGCGUAACGCGUAUGCAACCUACCUCUUACUGGGGGAUAGCCCGAAGAAAUUCGGAUUAACACCCCAUAGUAUUAUUCAUUCGCAUGUUUGAAUAAUUAAAGGUUACGGUAAGAGAUGGGCAUGCGUCCCAUUAGCUAGAUGGUAAGGUAACGGCUUACCAUGGCAACGAUGGGUAGGGGGCCUGAGAGGGUGAUCCCCCACACUGGUACUGAGACACGGACCAGACUCCUACGGGAGGCAGCAGUGAGGAAUAUUGGGCAAUGGAGGCAACUCUGACCCAGCCAUGCCGCGUGCAGGAAGAAGGUUCUAUGGAUCGUAAACUGCUUUUAUUUGGGAAUAAACCUUUCUACGUGUAGAAAGCUGAAGGUACCAAACGAAUAAGCACCGGCUAACUCC
RNAcentral lists this ribosomal RNA (481 nucleotides) under uncultured bacterium. RNAcentral's name for it is "bacterial SSU rRNA". It matches the Rfam family "Bacterial small subunit ribosomal RNA", at positions 30 to 504 of the family's 1533-position model. The record is from RNAcentral.